GCAGUCGUGGUUCAGUGGUAGAAUUUUCACCUUCCAUGCGGGAGAACCUGGGUUCAAUUCCCAGCCAAUGCA
RNAcentral lists this transfer RNA (72 nucleotides) under Loxodonta africana (African savanna elephant). It matches the Rfam family "tRNA". Rfam says of the family: Transfer RNA (tRNA) molecules are approximately 80 nucleotides in length. Their secondary structure includes four short double-helical elements and three loops (D, anti-codon, and T loops). Lineage: Eukaryota; Metazoa; Chordata; Mammalia; Proboscidea; Elephantidae. The record is from Rfam by way of RNAcentral.